CAGCCGGUUCGGGCCGUGAGCUGGGGGCCGGGGCGCGUCGCAGACGAUGAAACUGAGGCACACAGAGGUUAAAGAACUUGCCCAAGUCACAUAGCUGGAAAUGACUUAGAAGCCUUACAAAUACAUCUGUGCAUUCUUGCUUCAGACUUUACAAUUGAGGGCCAACCCAGUCUGGAAGCACCUCUUAUUAAUGUUUUAAGGAAACUGCUACCUCAGCAAACAAAAGAAAAGAAGGAGAGGACUUAUAAUAAAUGCCAUUUUAAAAAAAAAAAAACACUUGUUUUCAGAAAAUAUUAAAGGAAAUUUUUCGCAUUGAGAAGACGCUUUACAGGUAAAUGGAUUUGGCAGGCAGGCUCUGUCAAAAUUCUGCAGAGAUUUGAUCUUCCUUACUGAGGACUUAGUGUGAAGUAAUUCUGUACUGCUUUUUAAAUUGCUGUUGAUCAGCUUGUGGGUUUUGGGGUUCUAACUUUUCUGGUAUAUUG
Long non-coding RNA from Eubalaena glacialis (North Atlantic right whale), 482 nucleotides. RefSeq lists it as uncharacterized. The transcript is spliced from 3 exons. Lineage: Eukaryota; Metazoa; Chordata; Mammalia; Artiodactyla; Balaenidae. The record is from RefSeq and is a predicted model, not a curated record.